GGAAGCAAAGCGGGUCUCUCCUUCUCCUUCUCCUUCUUGACGCCAAAGGCUCUUUCUCCAUCUUUCUUCUUCUUCUUCCUCCUCUGUGGAGCGAAAUUGGGGGAAGCCUCUGCUGCCUUCACAAAGGACGGAGCAAAAAUGAAGCAUCAGGAAUUGCCAGGACUGCCAGAAGCGAAGCUGCAAUUAGCCGAGCGGAGCCAAGUAGAUUCAACCAGACGCUGUCGUUGUCGCCGUCGUCACCGCCGGAGGUGGCACAACCGAGUGUGGACAGUUAGUCGUCCACUCACUUCAUCAAAGAAGAAGAAGAUCACACUCUCUCUCCGCAUCUGUAUCCGACAAAUCGUAAGUUCAUGUUUCUUCCGAUUUUGGUGUCUUAUUGCGCGUGAAUUAGGGCUCUAUUCUUCAAAUUCAUUCCACAUUCGAGUCUAAAAACAGGAGUUACUCAAACAAGCAAUAUAUUGCCCUUAAAUCUACAUCUUCUGUACUUCCCUCCCGAGCAUUGGCGAGAUUUCUGCGUGUUUGAGCUCUCAUAGAUGGAGAUGAUAUAUUGUGUUCAAGGUCUCAUGUUGAAAUUUCUUUAGGUAGAGAUAUCUCUGUAACAUCAGGUACAAAUUUCUACCAGGAAAAAGGGAGAAAUCAUGGAACUUGAAAAUAUUCCGAGAAUUGCAUGCCUUGUCAAAAAUCUGAAAAGUCACUUUUACGCCUUGAUCGUAAUAUAGUCUGGACCGUCUGAGGAAUCACUUGUAAUCUUGAUUGGUUAAGUGAUGCUGGAAGGAUAAAAUUUAUUUCCAAUUUAUGCUAAAAUCUUUUUCAUAGCAAGUCAAACUAAUGAAGUGUACUUAAACUAUCUCUAAAGUUGUCGUUUUUUAAGUACAGGCAGGUCCAAACAUUCGAGCAGAUUGAGGCAUCCUGAGCUGGUUUUUUAUGGUCCCAUGCGCCCAAGGCCUCUCACUGCUUUUACAUCGGCCAACAAAUUUCAAAUGGAGCAUCCCUUUUCCAAAGGUGGUGAUGAGGCCUUCUUAUGUUAAGUUUGGCUUGGUAUGAUCCCAUGCUUGUUGAGUCGAGCUCAUGUCUGAAAAUCAAACAUAUCUUAGCUUAUACUCUGGUUUAUAUGCAAGUUGACUUAAUGUAAUAAACCACAUGACAUGUUAUUUUCCUUGAAUUGUUCAUGGGUGUAUGUUUCAAACCAGGUAUAUAUCUUAACAACAAAGUAGUUGAAGUAGGGAAAAGAAUGAAAGGACGGUUAUCGGGACAUAAGCUGGUGGUCAAGGUUUGAAAAGAUAACAAUUAUCUCCUUUUUUGUGGAUAGAUGUUUUGGAAAGCAAUUGCUGGAGCAAGUGUUAAGAAUUAGAAUCCAAGUACUCUUAUAUGGAGAAAUUUGACAAUGUUAUUCAAUGCUGUAAAAGUAGUAAUUAUAUAAAUCAUACAAGGGGACCAGUUGAUACAGACAAUCAAAUUGCAAAGAAUGUUGCUCCCUCCGUGGCUCAAGGGAAAGACCUAAAAGAUAAAAGGGUGGCUAGUUAUGAUUCUGAAGUUUGAUCGUAGAUCUUGAUGACUCUUAUUAUUAAUGUCAAACAGGAGAUACUGUUUUAUUCUGUUAUAUUAAUAAGAUAUUUGAGGAAAAAAAUAGAUGAGUUUACUUUGUCGAAUUGAAUCUGUAGUUUGAUAAAAUUCGAGCUGCAGUUGAAAGAAUUGAACAGCUUAGAUUGAAAUUUUCACUUCCAUCCAUGUUCCAGUCAUCGAUGUCUUUGCCUUUUCCCCUGCACUUGUGGUUUGUGUGGCUGAAAUUCACGGUCUCAAAUAUACAUAGGACAUGGAAGGCCUUUUCUAGUUAUGUACGCGAUCGCACUCCAGGGGCAUAUAUCUUGACAUUUGACCUUGGGUUGCAAGUUGAGAUUGUUUACUCGUAUUAUAUGGUUUAUUUUCAAUUAAAACUCCUGAAACUAGCAACUACUGCCUUAAAUUCGUAUUGUGUGAUUAGAUUCUCUCAUUAGUGUAUGCUUAUGUUUUGGUCUUUCUUCACCAUAAAUUGGUUUUUGACCAUGUAAAUGGGGACUCUGCUCCUGUUCAAUUCAUCAGGCAACAUAAUCUGGAAAAAAUGUAAAUUGCAACUCUCAGCUAUUCAGACAAGUCAUGGACGUUGAAACUCAGGAGCCAUGGACGUGGACACAGGGGGGCCUUUUUUUCUGCUGGUUGGCCCACAUUUGCUAGAGAAGCUCAUCUGCAUGUAGGAGAUGUUUGUAUUUUUGAGCUAAUUGAUAGUGAGGAUGUGUGUUCAGAGUCUACAUUUCCACUAGAGCUGGUAAGGACUUGGUUUACAUUGAUUGAAAUGAACUAUGGAAGUGUCAUUUUCGCUCAUCCAAAAUAAAUCCUGUAUUCAUCGUCAUUUCUUCUUUGGUGGUCUUGGUGAAUCAAUGAAGUAUACUUCUUCCAUUCCCGUUGUGUUUGUGAGGUUCGCAAUAAUCCAGAUGCUCACUUAUUAAUCUGCAUCCCAAAUCUAAAUGAACCAAAAAGGAUGUGAUUCAAGAUUAGAGCAAAAGUUAAAGCCUGAAACGCUCGUCAUGAGAAUUUAGAGAGGCGUGACUUGUUGGUUUCUAAGUUAUGUUUAUGUGAACAACGACACAUUCUUUUUCUUAUUCUCUCUCAAAAUUUGUGAAAUUCUCCUAAUAAGCUUUUUGUAUAUUGAUUUUGUGGCAUUAUGAUUUAGGAGGUGCUAAGGGUAGUAAUCAAUUAUGUCUAAAAUGCAGAACAUGUAGACAUUAGUACCAUGAUCACAAGUACUGAUGUUUAGAUCAUUGUAACUCAAUACAAUGUCGACAGUGGUACCUGCGAGAAUUUUCUUUUUUCUUUUGUGCCUAUCGAUCUGAACAGUCUAAAUGUCAUGUAGCCCUCCUGAGCAGGUUUUGUAUGGUUCCACGUGUCCAUGGCUGGCCACUGCUCUUGAAAAAACUAGAGAAUUUGAAUUUGAGCAUCCACUUUUGAAAUUGGUGAUUUGGCCACUUUUAUUAAAAAGAGAAUUGCAGUAAGGGCCUAUUUCCUUUCAUAAUUGGCAUAUCCCAACCGUGAUGCCAUCUACAUCUCGCCCUGUAGUCUACUAUUUUCCCAAGUGGUUUUGCUUUUUAUUGGAGAUGUUGUUUUCUUUGAAAUGUGUAUGGCUUUAUGUGUAAAACUAGGGCAGUUUUGAUUUUGAAUUUUUUUUUUUUUUUUUAAUUAUGGAUUCAGAAGAUUACAGAUUCUUAAAUAAUAGAUUGUACUUUCCUCACUACUCAGGUGUAAAGAAGAUUGCUUUUGUUCAUUGACUAAGAGGAUGUGGUGAGACAAUCAGUGUUAGCACACCUGAAGCGUUAUCAUGAGAGUUCAAAAAUAGUGUACACUAUUGUAGAGUCUAUGAGCACUGUAUCGUGACAUUUUAACAUCAAAUUGCAAGUUGGGAUUGAAGACUUCUAUUUGUCAGUUAACACUGUUAAUUGAAUUUACUGAAACUAGUAAAUACUAGCAUAUAUUAACAUUUUGUUUGCCUUGUCUUUUUAUUGUUUGUUUGUAUUUAAUCUUUUCCUCAUCAUGCUACAUUGGCGGAGUGUUCCUUGUGAAUUCAUCAAGAAGUACAUUCAGAAGAACCAUUAGAUUGCUACUCUUAGGUAUUUGAACAAAUCAUGACCAGUGCAACUCAAGACCUAUCAACACCAUUUUUUAGCAAACAUCUCUGUGGUUGGCCCAUGUUUGUGAGACAAGCUUAUCUGGAUGAAGGGGAUGUCUUCGUGUUUGAGCUCAUUGAUAUGGAUGAUUUUAUGGUCAAAGGCUCCAUCUCCAAUUAUGCUUGUAAGGACCUCAUUUAGGUCGAUUGAGAUGAACAUUGGACGCAUCACUUGAGGCUGUAUAUUAGUGAAGCAAUUCCUGCCUCACUUAUUCAGUUGCGACAAAUCAAUUGAAAGUGCGCUUACUUUUGGCUUUGCUUCUCUCUCUUGACCUACUUAUAGUCUUAUCAGAAUUCUCUUUUUUCUUUUGUCCAGGUCAGAACAGACAAGUCUGAAUGUCCAGUGAGCCCCUCCUAAGCAAUUUUUUCAUGAUUCCAAGUGUUCGAGGCCUCUCACUGCCCUUGAGAAAGCUAGAGAAUUCAAAUUGGAGUAUCCCUUUUCCAGACAGUGAUGUGGCCAUCUUUUCUUAAGAAAGAAGUGGUGGUAAGGCCCAGAUCUCCAUUCAUAACUGACGUCUCAAUUAUGCAUGCCACCUAUUCUAUAUAUGCGCCCCACUGUGCAAAUUUUUCCCACGUUAAUUUGGUUUUUAUAGAAACACAGGACAUGUUAUCUUCUGUGAAGUGAUCAUGGUUAUAUGUUUUAAACAGGAAUCUUAACAACUGAGUAAAGGGACUAGGAAAAACAAUAAGUUGGGACAGUAAUCAGGAAAUAACCUAAUGACAGGGGGUGCGGAGACAGGAUCAGAGGGUUGGGAAAGGCAAUAACAACCAUAAGUUAGCAAUUUAAUAGUUUCUAAUUGAAGUAUAAGUUCCUCCCAAAGAUGACUACUUGGUACUUUCUCAGGCUGCCUAGGCUUGGGAAGAAGAGGUGACACGAAAUGUCCAGCUUAAGCCAUAGCUACUGCAACAGGCCUAGGCUUGGCAUGACUGAGCUCACUGCAACAGCAUGGCAACACUAGUCAGAUAUUGCUCACUGGCAACAAAUGGUUUACAAGAGCUACCAUUGCAAGCAGGUUCAAACUUGCAAUCGAAAAUGAAGGGAAGCCAAUGUGGCCUAGACCUCAAAAAUUAGUGCCACCAACUCGAUGGUAUGAAACGAAGAAAAGAAGCUCACUUCUUUUUGGCCAGGCAAAAGAAGAUCACUUACUUUCUGUGCUUGUGUGUCCAUUUAGGUCCCUAUGUGUAGCUUUUCAUGUUUAUUCGAUGCAUAUUGCAAUGUAAGAUUGGUGACUCAGAUAUUCACCAGAUUCAACUUGUCUCUAUAUUGAUUACACGUACUUAGUGUAGAAUCUAAGAGCACAGGAUUGUGAUAUUUUGAUUUCAGAUUGCAAGUUGUGAUUAAAGGCGAUCUCAUCAUGUCUUUUAGACUGCUAAUAUGGACUUUGGAAACUAACAACUACUAGCAUAAAUGUACGUUUUGUUUGCCUUUUCGCUUUAGUGUAUGCUUACAUUCCUAUGUGUUAUCAUAUAUUGGCUGGUCAAAUGUCUUCAUGGGUAGAGUGUUCUUAUGAAUUCAUAAAUACAUGCAUUCAAGAAAACCAGCGAAUUGUGACUCCUGGGUGCUCGGACACAUUGUGGCG
Molecule: long non-coding RNA, 5274 nt
Filed under: Eucalyptus grandis
Lineage: Eukaryota; Viridiplantae; Streptophyta; Magnoliopsida; Myrtales; Myrtaceae
Description: long non-coding RNA (EGRA_LNC004057)
Source: RNAcentral